UGGGAAGUAUUGCAUCAAUGGGCAGGCAAGCCAUGACUGCAGCCAUGCCGCGCUGUAUGAAGAAGGCCAAUUCGGGGCUUUGGUUAAAGAUACUUUCAGCGAGGAGGAAGGCAUUAAGGUUAAUAACCUUGGUGAUUGACGUUACUCGCAGAAGAAGCACCGGCUAACUCCGUGCCAGCAGCCGCGGUAAUACGGAGGGUGCAAGCGUUAAUCGGAAUUACUGGGCGUAAAGCGCACGCAGGCGGUCUGUCAAGUCGGAUGUGAAAUCCCCGGGCUCAACCUGGGAACUGCAUCCGAAACUGGCAGGCUAGAGUCUUGUAGA
Molecule: ribosomal RNA, 322 nt
Filed under: uncultured Enterobacteriaceae bacterium
Lineage: Bacteria; Pseudomonadati; Pseudomonadota; Gammaproteobacteria; Enterobacterales; Enterobacteriaceae
Description: bacterial SSU rRNA
Rfam family: Bacterial small subunit ribosomal RNA
Source: RNAcentral